This 690-nucleotide ribosomal RNA is filed under the name uncultured dinoflagellate. Its description in RNAcentral is "bacterial SSU rRNA". It matches the Rfam family "Eukaryotic small subunit ribosomal RNA", at positions 458 to 1157 of the family's 1831-position model. The record is from RNAcentral. Lineage: Eukaryota; Dinophyceae.
AGGGAGGUAGUGACAAUAAAUAACAAUGCCGGGCCUUUACAGGUCUGGCAAUUGGAAUGAGAACAAUUUAAAUCCCUUAUCGAGUAUCAAUUGGAGGGCAAGUCUGGUGCCAGCAGCCGCGGUAAUUCCAGCUCCAAUAGCGUAUAUUAAAGUUGUUGCGGUUAAAAAGCUCGUAGUUGGAGUUCUGCCAGGUGACUUUCGUCCGCCCAAGUGGUGUGUACAGGGAGUGCAUCUGGCCCUUUCAAGGGGAACGUGUCUGCACUUCAUUGUGUGGUGCGAGAUCCUUGACUUUUACUUUGAGGAAAUAAGAGUGUUCCAAGCAGGCUCUCGUCGUGCAUAGCUCAGCAUGGAAUAAUAGCAUUGGACUUCGUUUCUACGCUGUUGGUUGCAAGAAGCGAGGUAAUGAUGAAGAGGGAAUAGUUGGGGGUAUUCGUAUUUCGUUGUCAGAGGUGAAAUUCUUGGAUUUCCGAAAGACGAACUACUGCGAAAGCAUUUACCAAGGAUGUUUUCAUUAAUCAAGAACGAAAGUUAGGGGAUCGAAGAUGAUUAGAUACCAUCGUAGUCUUAACCAUAAACUAUGCCGACUAAGGAUCGGCGGAGCAUCUGUAUAGACUCCGUCGGCACUUUAUGAGAAAUCAAAGUCUUUGGGUUCCGGGGGGAGUAUGGUCGCAAGGCUGAAAUCCAUAUGAC